CGCGGCCUAUCAGCUUGUUGGUGGGGUAACGGCCCACCAAGGCGACGACGGGUAGCCGGCCUGAGAGGGCGACCGGCCACACUGGGACUGAGACACGGCCCAGACUUCUACGGGAGGCAGCAGUGGGGAAUAUUGCGCAAUGGGCGAAAGCCUGACGCAGCGACGCCGCGUGAGGGAUGAAGGCCUUCGGGUUGUAAACCUCUUUCAGCAGGGACGAAGCGAAAGUGACGGUACCUGCAGAAGAAGCACCGGCCAACUACGUGCCAGCAGCCGCGGUAAUACGUAGGGUGCAAGCGUUGUCCGGAAUUAUUGGGCGUAAAGAGCUCGUAGGCGGUCUGUCGCGUCGGCUGUGAAAACUCGGGGCUCAACCCCGAGCCUGCAGUCGAUACGGGCAGACUAGAGUGCUGUAGGGGAGACUGGAAUUCCUGGUGUAGCGGUGAAAUGCGCAGAUAUCAGGAGGAACACCGGUGGCGAAGGCGGGUCUCUGGGCAGUAACUGACGCUGAGGAGCGAAAGCGUGGGGAGCGAACAGGAUUAGAUACCCUGGUAGUCCACGCCGUAAACGGUGGGUGCUAGGUGUAGGGGGUAUUCCACGCCCUCUGUGCCGCAGCUAACGCAUUAAGCACCCCGCCUGGGGAGUACGG
Molecule: ribosomal RNA, 643 nt
Filed under: uncultured Actinomycetes bacterium
Lineage: Bacteria; Bacillati; Actinomycetota; Actinomycetes
Description: bacterial SSU rRNA
Rfam family: Bacterial small subunit ribosomal RNA
Source: RNAcentral